AUGAAUCUAGUUAGACUAUUGAAGGUGUGUCUUGUGAUGCAGUUGAUAAUAAAAGGCCGUAGUCCCUUGUACAUGUAACUGUAGUAAUUUGUGUAGUCCUCUACAUUUUCAUUUAUUUGUACAUGUAUGAAAAUAUCAUGGAUGGCAAAUGAUAUUGAUGAUUACAACUGUUAUCUACUGCAGGGACUAGACAGCUAAUUCAAUAAAGGAAACUGCAUAUAUAAAAUCCAGAAUUCCAACAGUCUCUCAAGGAGAUGAAAGAGAGAGUAGAAGAUCUGUUGUUUAUGUUUCAAGAUCAUGUCGUUUGGAGUUUCAAGAUGUGAAGACUAAUAAAUUUUGAUCUUUGUAAAUUUAUUUCUUUUGUUCUUUUUAAAUUUAUGUUUUAGUUUAA
This is a long non-coding RNA of Juglans microcarpa x Juglans regia, 391 nucleotides long. RefSeq lists it as uncharacterized. The transcript is spliced from 2 exons. The record is from RefSeq and is a predicted model, not a curated record. Lineage: Eukaryota; Viridiplantae; Streptophyta; Magnoliopsida; Fagales; Juglandaceae.